This 328-nucleotide unclassified non-coding RNA is filed under the name fungal sp. RNAcentral's name for it is "partial internal transcribed spacer region". The stretch from base 1 to 46 matches the Rfam family "Eukaryotic small subunit ribosomal RNA", at positions 1786 to 1831 of the family's 1831-position model. The record is from RNAcentral. Lineage: Eukaryota; Fungi.
AAGUCGUAACAAGGUUUCCGUAGGUGAACCUGCGGAAGGAUCAUUCAUGUGAAUUUUAAAAAAACACACAUACUUCUUGUGAACUUAGUAAACUAUGACUGCUUGCUUUUUUUUAUAUAUGGUUUUAUGUUUUUGUGGGCUGCGUUUUUACUAUUUGCUGAGGGGUUUUUGUUAGCUGCUUUGUCUGAAUUGCAACCGAUAAAAACUCUCUAGUGUAAAAAUGAAAAAUGCUACCUAAUGAUUUACCAACAGUUUUUAUUUUAUAAAAGAACAAAAGAUUUGUAAAAAUAUUUAUUACAACUUUUAACGAUGGAUCCCUCGGCUCUCA